RNAcentral lists this long non-coding RNA (225 nucleotides) under Gossypium barbadense (sea-island cotton). RNAcentral's name for it is "long non-coding RNA (GBAR_LNC013374)". Lineage: Eukaryota; Viridiplantae; Streptophyta; Magnoliopsida; Malvales; Malvaceae. The record is from RNAcentral.
GACAAUAAAUAUGUGGGUAUGUUUCCAUACCUUGUGACAGUGAUUAUAAUGUGCUAAUGAUGUGAAUAUGCAGUGAAUAUGAGUGAAAAAACGAUAAGUAAAUAUGUGAUAAUAAUGUGGAUAUUUUGGCCUUGUGAUCUUAUGAGACCGUUGGAUAUAGUUAGCAUGUCAUAAUAUUGUGAGUACUCGUCUUUGUGAUGUGAUUUUUAAGGCGUUGAGGCUCAG